UGCUGCAUAUAUGCGUGUAUAUGCCACAUAUAGGCAAAAUUGAGGUGCAUAUAUGUGCAUAUACAGGCCAUAUAGGUCUCCUGUAUUGCUUCUUUAUAUCCACAUAUAAGCCCUAUAUGUACAUACAAGAUACGUCUCCUAGCUCAUGGCAAGAUCUGGUCAUUUUGUAGCUCAUAUCUCACUUUGGAAACUGUCAUACAUGAUGCCUAGCUCAUAUUUUCUAUUAUCAAGGCAAUAACUAAGAAAUAACUAAAAAAAAUUAUGCAAGAACUUAUGUAUGUGCGAACACGUGAAAUGGGUAUCACAUCUAAUUGGCAUGUUAUGGAAUUUAACUAUGGCACUUAAGUGAGAGGAGAUGGAAAGCUAUGAUGUCUACACGUUUUCCUGAAACAUUUACAAGGUCAAUAGUGGAAAAGAAGGAAAUGUAUAACAAAAUGGUUUGUGUUUUUUUUAUUUUUGUCAAUCAAGCCUUUUUUCCAAUUUCAAGUCACUUCCAGAUUCACAUUACAGCUCAUACACAUCCACACAUUCACCGUUACAUCCACCAAAUGCAAUGUUUUCUGUAUUGUCUUAAUGCAUUUUCCAGAAUAUGGCUGAAAGGUCAUUACAGUCUGAAUGUAGCAAAAAAACUAACAAAAGAAAAGUACAUAGAAUAUACAUUCAGGUAAUCAUCAUCAUCCCACAUCUAUCUGAGCAUUUCACUGUGGUUAAUGAAUUUGAAGACAAUGUCAACAUUUCUGUUCACAGUUUUAACAAACAGACACUUUUCUUUUAUCUGAGAUGCUUGUAUAGCAACUAAAGGCCCCAGACAUUUCCUUACAGGGACGUAAUAACAAGGAUUCUUAAAUUGACCGCAGAUGUCCUGUUUCACUUUUUGGUAGUACUUCCCCACUGCAUAACAUGUCUCCCCCUGCCCCAGAUCACAGACAAUGAAUGUCUUCACAGAGAAAAUACUUUCCUCUCGAUCAGAAAGAAUGACAGUCUACGAGUUUCUCCGAAAAGUUGCUGAUGCUGUUCAAGGCCAGAAAAUCAUCAUUUCUGAUCAUACAAAUUUUAGGCCUACCCAGAGAUGUAACACCAUGACAGCGACUUACUUCCUGCACCAUUUUUUUCUCAACUGAAAAAGACUCUAAGAGAGCUAAGUAAUCAUCAGAAGCUGCCACCAUGGUUUUUUGGGAAAAUGAUGGAAAUGCAACCUGUAGCCAAACUGUUUUCAUUAUCUGCAGAGAAACUCCCUGGCUGCUCUUUAUCAUAUCUAAAAUGAUCCCAUUGUAUGACUCAAACACAAAUGCAGACUGUGCCCAGAGGGGACCCCAGUUCCUCACAGUAUUGGGCAGAUGAAGGCACAAAUGUACAUUGAAAGUGACAUUAUUGAUCCCAUAAAGGGUCUCCAUUUCCUGAACAAACUCUGUUAGCAACCCCUCAGAUUCUGAUAUGUGCAGUGGUGAUAUAUUCUCACCGAGUAGAAGAGAAACCCCCUUUACCAACUUAAACCAGUGCUUCAGAUAUUUUUCAGGUAAGACCCCUUUCAAUGUUGGUAUGCUGUAAUAAAACAACCACAUGUUCCA
Molecule: long non-coding RNA, 1568 nt
Organism: Esox lucius (northern pike)
Lineage: Eukaryota; Metazoa; Chordata; Actinopteri; Esociformes; Esocidae
Exons: 2
Source: RefSeq, a predicted model, not a curated record